Molecule: transfer RNA, 73 nt
Filed under: Candidatus Palibaumannia cicadellinicola
Lineage: Bacteria; Pseudomonadati; Pseudomonadota; Gammaproteobacteria
Also listed under: 1 other name
Description: tRNA-Thr
Rfam family: tRNA
About the family: Transfer RNA (tRNA) molecules are approximately 80 nucleotides in length. Their secondary structure includes four short double-helical elements and three loops (D, anti-codon, and T loops).
Source: RNAcentral
GCCGACAUAGCUCAGCUGGUAGAGUAACUGACUUGUAAUCAGUAGGUGGAAGGUUCGACUCCUUCUGUCGGCA